This is an unclassified non-coding RNA of 285 nucleotides. It matches the Rfam family "Metazoan signal recognition particle RNA". Rfam says of the family: The signal recognition particle (SRP) is a universally conserved ribonucleoprotein. It is involved in the co-translational targeting of proteins to membranes. The eukaryotic SRP consists of a 300-nucleotide 7S RNA and six proteins: SRPs 72, 68, 54, 19, 14, and 9. The record is from Ensembl.
GCCAGGUGCAGUGGCACAUGUGUGUAGUCCCAGCUACUUGGGAAGCUGAGGCAGGAGGACUGCUUGAGCCCAGAAGUUCUGGGCUGUGAUGUGCUAUGCUGGUCGGAUGUCCGCAUUAAGUUCGGCAUCAGUAUGGUGACCUCCCGGGAGCGGGGGACCAUCAGGUUGCCUAAGGAGGGGUGAACCGGCCCAGGUCAGAAAUAGAGGAGGUCAAAAAAAUAGGGGUGAACAGUGGCUUUCUUUGGGUGAGAGAAUUAUGGGCGAUUUCUUCUCUUUCUGCUUUUU